RNAcentral lists this transfer RNA (134 nucleotides) under Akkermansiaceae bacterium. RNAcentral describes it as "tRNA-Ser". Lineage: Bacteria; Pseudomonadati; Verrucomicrobiota; Verrucomicrobiia; Verrucomicrobiales; Akkermansiaceae. The record is from RNAcentral.
GGAGGGAAAUCAAGCUCUUUUGGGCAACGAAUGGGCAACGCUCCUCAUUCACCCUCAUUUUAAGGUAUUCGUAACGGUCUUGAAAACCGACGUAGUGAAAGCUACCGUGGGUUCGAAUCCCACCCCCUCUGCCA